UAAAAGUGCUGUCCAGAUGCAAGACCUAUUAGAUGCGCAAGAAUGUUAGGUCCCAAAACAAGUAUGCCUGUCAACAGCACUGGACUCGGUGCUGACAUUGAACCUCCUGUAACCAGUACCGGUCUCCCUGGUGUGGCCAUGGAUGAAGGCAUCCGAUGCAAUCACUGUUGAGGGAGGUAGCCCCUCUGCAAAGAAGCCACUUAAUGUCAAAAACUCAACCAUCGGACAUCAUUACGCAUAAGUGUAGUGUCACAACUACUCUCUUUUUUUUUGUCACGACUACUCUACUAGCUCUUCUUUUUUAAUUCCGCAAAAUGAAAUAAGUUUUCUUGCAGCACUGUGUUUCUGUGUUUUUCGAUAAUAAACGGAAUAAUAUUAUUAUAUGAAGGGAAAUUAGCGGAAGGAGGCAUGGCGAGCCAGCUACCA
Long non-coding RNA from Raphanus sativus (radish), 426 nucleotides. RefSeq lists it as uncharacterized. NCBI's taxonomy places the organism in Eukaryota, Viridiplantae, Streptophyta, Magnoliopsida, Brassicales, Brassicaceae. The transcript is spliced from 2 exons. The record is from RefSeq and is a predicted model, not a curated record.